RNAcentral lists this unclassified non-coding RNA (349 nucleotides) under Hevea brasiliensis (rubber tree). The record is from RNAcentral. Lineage: Eukaryota; Viridiplantae; Streptophyta; Magnoliopsida; Malpighiales; Euphorbiaceae.
AGAAACUACACAUCUAGAAGUAUCAAUAACAUAAAUGAAUAGACCUUCCUAUGAUAGGUUGAUAGAAGUUGGAGUCCAUAGACAUUCUGAUGUAUUCGAAACCGGCGAUGGGUUUGGAAGCUUCUGAAAAUGGAAAUGUCGAUGUACUGGAAGCUUUUGAAAAUGGCGAUGAAUUCGAAGCUAGAGAUGAAUGAAGCUAGAGAUGGUGAUGAAUCUGAAGCCAGAGAUGACAAUGUAUCAAAAGCUAGAGAUGGUGAUGUAUCCGAAGCUGGAGAUGGAGGAGAUGGCGAUGAAGCUCAAGAUAUGGUCAUUCAUAACAUUUAAUUUGGUCAUUUCCUUAUUGGUUUUU